RNAcentral lists this long non-coding RNA (753 nucleotides) under Mus musculus (house mouse). Its description in RNAcentral is "long non-coding RNA chr1:184442979-184443732". Lineage: Eukaryota; Metazoa; Chordata; Mammalia; Rodentia; Muridae. The record is from RNAcentral.
AGCAGAACUUGCUUGUUCGAAGAAGUUGAUUCACUUUCGGAGCAGGUGGGACCCUCCCUCUCCAUCUGUGACCUGGUUUGUUUCUGGGCUAAAUUGUGGGAGGUGAGGAUGUGAAGAGAGAGUUUCAGGAGAAAGAAGUUUCAGGAGAAAAGAUGGUUGUUAGCUGGACAAAUGUCUGCGAGGAGACUAAAGGUUUCCUGGGAAGCUGCUGUGUUCAAAGUUUUCAGGAAAGAACAAACAACACUGAUCAUCCAUGUGUCUUAAUAUAGAAGGCUCCAGAAGCCCCCAGACAGCCUUAGGAGGGCUACAGGGCAGGGAGGGGAGAGCAUUGUGCACUGCAGAGGAAGCCAAGGGGACAAAGAGCACUGUUUAAAUGUGGUAUGACAAUGGUCUUCCUGGGCUCUUGGCUCUGCUCAUCUGAACCUUUCUGACCCUGAGACAUUGUUGUUAGAUCUUCUAAAGAGAGGGGGGAAAAAAACCUGUUUCAGAAAUUAAAAGAAAAUAACUCACUGAGUUAUUCUUCACCGUGAACUAUUUAAGGCUGGGCCGUGUGUGCCUUGACCUGCGCGUCCUUUGGACAGAUGAACAGACACACUCCGGUGUACUCCCCUCCUCCCAGAGUCCCUAUGUCAUCAACCUGAUAGAGAAGGACAGUUGGGCUUGGGUUUAUAAGAAAUGAAAUUUUAUAUAUGUCCUAAAACAUAGAUAUGGAAAAAAACAUCAGAAAUAAAUAAUAAAAAAAUACUCCAAAUA